GAGUUUGAUUAUGGCUCAGGAUGAACGCUAGCGAUAGGCUUAACACAUGCAAGUCGAGGGGCAGCGAGGGUAGCAAUACCUGUCGGCGACCGGCGCACGGGUGAGUAACGCGUAUGUAACCUGCCCGCAACAGGGGGAUAACCCGGCGAAAGUCGGACUAAUACCGCAUAAAACAGGGGUCCCGCAUGGGAAUAUUUGUUAAAGAUUUAUCGGUUGCGGAUGGGCAUGCGUACCAUUAGGUAGUUGGUGAGGUAACGGCUCACCAAGCCUUCGAUGGUUAGGGGUUCUGAGAGGAAGGUCCCCCACACUGGUACUGAGACACGGACCAGACUCCUACGGGAGGCAGCAGUGAGGAAUAUUGGUCAAUGGGCGAGAGCCUGAACCAGCCAAGUCGCGUGAAGGAUGACUGCCCUAUGGGUUGUAAACUUCUUUUACAAGGGAAUAAAAUGAGAUACGUGUAUUUUAUUGCAUNACCUNGA
RNAcentral lists this ribosomal RNA (479 nucleotides) under Tannerella forsythia. RNAcentral's name for it is "bacterial SSU rRNA". It matches the Rfam family "Bacterial small subunit ribosomal RNA", at positions 9 to 483 of the family's 1533-position model. The record is from RNAcentral. Lineage: Bacteria; Pseudomonadati; Bacteroidota; Bacteroidia; Bacteroidales; Tannerellaceae.